This 919-nucleotide ribosomal RNA is filed under the name uncultured bacterium. RNAcentral's name for it is "bacterial SSU rRNA". It matches the Rfam family "Bacterial small subunit ribosomal RNA", at positions 33 to 943 of the family's 1533-position model. The record is from RNAcentral.
ACGCUAGCUACAGGCUUAACACAUGCAAGUCGAGGGGAAACGGCAUUUAGUGCUUACACCGAAUGGACGUCGACCGGCGCACGGGUGAGUAACGCGUAUCCAACCUUCCCAUAACUAAGGGAUAACCUGCCGAAAGGCAGACUAAUACCUUAUGUAAUCCUUUGAUGGCAUCAGAUAAGGAUAAAAGAUUUAUCGGUUAUGGAUGGGGAUGCGUCUGAUUAGCUUGUUGGCGGGGUAACGGCCCACCAAGGCAACGAUCAGUAGGGGUUCUGAGAGGAAGGUCCCCCACAUUGGAACUGAGACACGGUCCAAACUCCUACGGGAGGCAGCAGUGAGGAAUAUUGGUCAAUGGACGGAAGUCUGAACCAGCCAAGUAGCGUGCAGGAUGACGGCCCUAUGGGUUGUAAACUGCUUUUGUAUGGGGAUAAAGUCAAUCACGUGUGAUUGUUUGCAGGUACCAUACGAAUAAGGACCGGCUAAUUCCGUGCCAGCAGCCGCGGUAAUACGGAAGGUUCGGGCGUUAUCCGGAUUUAUUGGGUUUAAAGGGAGCGUAGGCCGGAGAUUAAGUGUGUUGUGAAAUGUAGACGCUCAACGUCUGACUUGCAGCGCAUACUGGUUUCCUUGAGUACGCACAACGUUGGCGGAAUUCGUCGUGUAGCGGUGAAAUGCUUAGAUAUGACGAAGAACUCCGAUUGCGAAGGCAGCUGACGGGAGCGCAACUGACGCUGAAGCUCGAAGGUGCGGGUAUCGAACAGGAUUAGAUACCCUGGUAGUCCGCACAGUAAACGAUGGAUGCCCGCUGUUGGUACCUGGUAUCAGCGGCUAAGCGAAAGCAUUAAGCAUCCCACCUGGGGAGUACGCCGGCAACGGUGAAACUCAAAGGAAUUGACGGGGGCCCGCACAAGCGGAGGAACAUGUG